This 254-nucleotide ribosomal RNA is filed under the name uncultured bacterium. RNAcentral's name for it is "partial 16S ribosomal RNA". It matches the Rfam family "Bacterial small subunit ribosomal RNA", at positions 524 to 776 of the family's 1533-position model. The record is from RNAcentral.
UACGGGGGGAGCAAGCGUUGUUCGGAUUUACUGGGCGUAAAGGGCGCGUAGGCGGCCAGCGCAAGUCAGUUGUGAAAUCUCCGGGCUUAACUCGGAACGGUCAACUGAUACUGCGCGGCUAGAGUGCAGAAGGGGCAACUGGAAUUCUCGGUGUAGCGGUGAAAUGUGUAGAUAUCGAGAGGAACACCUGCGGCGAAGGCGGGUUGCUGGGCUGACACUGACGCUGAUGCGCGAAAGCCAGGGGAGCGAACGGG